RNAcentral lists this ribosomal RNA (187 nucleotides) under uncultured bacterium. RNAcentral describes it as "partial 16S rRNA". It matches the Rfam family "Bacterial small subunit ribosomal RNA", at positions 338 to 522 of the family's 1533-position model. The record is from RNAcentral.
CCUACGGGGGGCGGCAGUGAGGAAUAUUGGACAAUGGAUGGAAAUCUGAUCCAGCCAUGCCGCGUGCAGGAAGACGGCCCUAUGGGUUGUAAACUGCUUUUAUACGGGAGCAAUAAGGUCUACGUGUAGACUGAUGAGAGUACCGUAUGAAUAAGCAUCGGCUAACUCCGUGCCAGCAGCCCCGGUC